RNAcentral lists this ribosomal RNA (465 nucleotides) under Vreelandella stevensii. RNAcentral's name for it is "partial 16S ribosomal RNA". It matches the Rfam family "Bacterial small subunit ribosomal RNA", at positions 338 to 795 of the family's 1533-position model. Lineage: Bacteria; Pseudomonadati; Pseudomonadota; Gammaproteobacteria; Oceanospirillales; Halomonadaceae. The record is from RNAcentral.
CCUACGGGGGGCUGCAGUGGGGAAUAUUGGACAAUGGGGGGAACCCUGAUCCAGCCAUGCCGCGUGUGUGAAGAAGGCCCUCGGGUUGUAAAGCACUUUCAGUGAGGAAGAACGCCUGGUGGUUAAUACCCAUCAGGAAAGACAUCACUCACAGAAGAAGCACCGGCUAACUCCGUGCCAGCAGCCGCGGUAAUACGGAGGGUGCGAGCGUUAAUCGGAAUUACUGGGCGUAAAGCGCGCGUAGGUGGCUUGAUAAGCCGGUUGUGAAAGCCCCGGGCUCAACCUGGGAACGGCAUCCGGAACUGUCAAGCUAGAGUGCAGGAGAGGAAGGUAGAAUUCCCGGUGUAGCGGUGAAAUGCGUAGAGAUUGGGAGGAAUACCAGUGGCGAAGGCGGCCUUCUGGACUGACACUGACACUGAGGUGCGAAAGCGUGGGUAGCAAACAGGAUUAGAUACCCUGGUAGUC